This 1665-nucleotide long non-coding RNA is filed under the name Limulus polyphemus (Atlantic horseshoe crab). RNAcentral's name for it is "uncharacterized LOC106462991, transcript variant X3". The record is from RNAcentral. Lineage: Eukaryota; Metazoa; Arthropoda; Merostomata; Xiphosura; Limulidae.
GACGGGGAAAUCUGCCUACAUGCCAAUUAUAUGUUAGUGAGUGAUAGGGGAGGGGGUGGGGGAUGAGAGUGGAUCUAUCUUUCACUCGGAAUGCUAUUCUGUAGCCUGUUACAGACAAGAAGAGCGGAUGGUGCAGUGAAUGAAAAAAAUAGGUUAUCGUGCAAUAAUGUGGCAUCAGUGUUUACGUGUGUGAGUGUGGAAGAAGGCCAGAUACAGUGACAUGGAUUGCUGCCAGCCACGAGGCAUCUGUGCCCACUAGCUGGUGAAUCUGCCGCCAUAUUGGUCGCGUCAAGGUCGUUUCUCUCUCAGUAGGGAGCGGACGGUUGGACAAUACACGAUAUUCAUGAGUCCCGUGAAGCGUAUCCAUCCGUAUUCCCAUUCAAGACUCAAAAGAUGAUUUGUAUCGUAGCGUUGGUUAUGUAAAGAGCAUUAUUACGAGAUGAAACAACUGUGGAAUAAGAAUUAACUCAAAGUGGCAUCUUGAAAAAUAUUCUAGAUAGCGACAACAACUAUAGAAAUAAAACUUAAAAUACGUUACGUCUCACCAUUGUUGGCACCUUGCCAAAUCGGAGGACUUAAGAAAACAAGAAAAUGAAAUUAUUGUUCUCACUGGUAACUGGAAGAUUAGGAGGAAGAGGUCUCCACUAGCACCUGACCAUCCCAGGUCGCAUAAACACGACCUUAUAACCUAUCGAGAAGAACACAGAUGGGAAAACUCGAGAAGUUAGGUGUAAAGCUGUUGUUCUCACUGGUAACUGGAAGAUUAGGAGGAAGAGGUCUCCACUAGCACCUGACCAUCCCAGGUCGCAUAAAACACGACCUUAUAACCUAUCGAGAAGUACACAGAUGAGAAAACUCGAGAAGUUAGGUGUAAAGCUGUUGUUCUCACUGUUAACUAGAAGACUCGAGGAUAUUACGUGUUAAUAACCCCUGUUGGACUAAAAGACUCCAUCUGAUAAAGAAGCAAGAUGUAAAGAAUUGAAGAUGCUGUGGCAUUGCGCUCAUCUUCUGGUUAAGAGAUGGCUUUCUUGAUGGCAAGAGGUUCUUCCUCCCUGGAAUGAAGGAUAACGCGGAAUCCAAUUAAUUUAGACAGUUGUUGGUAAUGCUACUACUAUUGUAGGGAUUAUAGCGUUCCUUUAUUCUACUGCAGUGCCUCCUAGUGGCUGGUCCAACAUGUUCCCGAUUGCAUUUCGGGCACGUGAACUCGUAUACCACUAGUAAGGUGUUCAGUGGAUGGCCACAUAUUACAGUGCAACGCAGUCAAAUAACCGGAAGAUUCGAACUAAAAGCAUCAUUAUCAAAGAAGACACGGUCAAUUUGGGUAACAGCUGACGUAUUCUCUGUACAAGCGAUCCGAAACAGCGCCCGAUUAUUUCGAGUGGACCGAUAAGAACUGUGUGUGCAAGACGAAGAGCUGAACAGUAUAUGUGAUCUCCACUGGGAGUGUUUCUACCGUUCUGACAAGAAAGUUUCGGGAAAUAUCAUGAAACAUGACAUAGCAGCUGUUGACCAGUCAUUAAUCCACCGUAACUGACAGCAUAGCCAACCGCCACCGCGGUGUUUAACUAACUGUUCACAAACUGUUUCUUACUGAGAACUCAUUGUUUUAUAUCUUUUAGCCCCUUGACUACGUGCAAUUGAAAGAAAUAAAAUGUUGUUGUAGAA